RNAcentral lists this ribosomal RNA (533 nucleotides) under uncultured bacterium. Its description in RNAcentral is "bacterial SSU rRNA". It matches the Rfam family "Bacterial small subunit ribosomal RNA", at positions 8 to 521 of the family's 1533-position model. The record is from RNAcentral.
AGAGUUUGAUCCUGGCUCAGGAUGAACGCUGGCGGCGCGCUUAAGACAAUGCAAGUCGAACGGUUCAACAACAUUGCAAAGAAUGAAGAUUUAUCAGAUUUCCGGAGCGCCGUUGUUGAAUAGUGGCGGACGGGUUGAGUAACACGUGAGCAACCUGCCUUCAAGAGGGGGAUAACAGAGAGAAAUUUCUGCUAAUACCGCAUAAGACCACGCUACCGCAUGGUAGAGAGGUCAAAGGAGAAAUCCGCUUGAAGAUGGGCUCGCGGCUGAUUAGCUAGUUGGUGAGGUAACGGCCCACCAAGGCGACGAUCAGUAGCCGAACUGAGAGGUUGAUCGGCCACAUUGGGACUGAGACACGGCCCAGACUCCUACGGGAGGCAGCAGUCGGGAAUAUUGCACAAUGGGGGAAACCCUGAUGCAGCGACGCCGCGUAAAGGAAGAAGGUCUUCGGAUUGUAAACUUUUGUCGACAGGGAAGAUAAUGACAGUACCUGUGGAGGAAGCCCCGGCUAACUACGUGCCAGCAGCCGCGGU